This 66-nucleotide transfer RNA is filed under the name Camelus bactrianus (Bactrian camel). It matches the Rfam family "tRNA". From Rfam's summary of the family: Transfer RNA (tRNA) molecules are approximately 80 nucleotides in length. Their secondary structure includes four short double-helical elements and three loops (D, anti-codon, and T loops). The record is from Rfam by way of RNAcentral. Lineage: Eukaryota; Metazoa; Chordata; Mammalia; Artiodactyla; Camelidae. RNAcentral also lists the same sequence under 2 other names.
AGGGGAAUAGCUCAGUGGUAGAGCGCAUGCUUAGCAUGCAAGAGGUCCUGGGUUCCAGUACCUCCG